GGUCGGCUGACGCGUCCGCGCCCCGAGGCCCCGCAGGUCCCACCUGGAGCAACAGGGCGGGGAUGGGCGUCAGGCUCCGCGGCACUGGCCGACCUGGUUCCUCAGCACCUGCGGGCCGGGGCUGCUGAGCCCGCCCAAAAAGGUCGUUUCCCUCGCAGUUUCCAACAUGGCAGGCAGGUUUUAUACAUGGAUAAGAAGUCCACAGAACGCAGAAGUUCUGAAGAUGCCAGGACCGGCAGAAGUGGAGGGGGACACGGGUUCGAGCCCUGGUCUGGGAAGAUCCCACAUGCCGCGGAGCAACCAAGCCCGUGAGCCACAACUACUGAGUCUGUGCGUCUGGAGCCUGUGCUCCGCAACGGGAGAGGCCGCGACGGUAAACACAAACAAAAGGAAAGAAAGCAAAAGCAAAACCACCACCGAUCCCGACAUAGAUCAUCAACAUCUCAUUCUUCAGAUGACUAUGUGUUUCCUUCUCUUACAUCAUCUUCAGGAAGCCAGACGGAUUCAUGUGUCAAAGAAUAAUACCCACUGUGUGCCAGGCAUAAUGCUGCUACCAAGGGAAGAAUUAAGACAAAGAGAAGAGAGAAAAGGAGUAAAUGGCGAAAAGAAAGAAAAGUAUCUUCUGAGAUGUCCGUCAUUCAGUCUGGUCCUCAGUCAUUGAUCCACGCCAUUUGCGACUGAGAUGCCUUCAUUCCUGUCUGCCUAGUCCUUUCAGAUCCAUGGUUGGUUGAACCUGGGGAUGUGAAACCCAUGGAUCCAGAGGGCCGUCUUUAUAGCACUCUGGAUUCAUUUCAAGACCACACACACCUAGAUCAUUUUGAUCAAAAGUGCCCUUGGGAAAUCUCACCUCCUCCAGGAAGCCUUCCAGAGUAAUUCAGAGAAGAGUCAAAAGCUGUUUCGUCUUGUCUGUCUGGAACACCUACAGGUAACCACACCCCUGCCCCAUCUCCUUUAUGGUGACUACACAUAGAGGCGCUCAGUAAAUAUUUGAUGAAUGAAUGAAUGAAUGAAUUCUUAAGAAGUGUAUUGACCACUUACUAUGUGCCUGGCAUAUCUCGGGAGAUACAAACUCAAGUCAGACAUGGACCCCGGCCUCCCAGAAAGAACAAUCUAAUGAAUGAUGCUGAUACAUCAUAAACCCCUCAAUUCUCACUCACAGCUUCACUCAGCCCCUGUCCUGUGUGACCUCCAAGUUGGUGUUCACAUGCACCCACGCAUUAAGGCACAUUUUAAAGUACGUACUCUGUGCCCAGAAGGUGGUGGAGACCAGAGAUGAAAGACCUGGUUCCUGCACUUAAGGAUUUCACAAACUACUGGAGGCAGUGGCCUGGCAGGGAGGGGGGGGAAUCAACAGAAAACCGCAUACAUUUCCACCACUGUGUCGUAAGUACAGUGAUGAGGAUUUGGGGGCUGUUCUGAGUGCACAGAGGAUCUGUAACGCUGAGAGGCAGUGAGGCAUGUGGAAGGGAGCCUGGCUUCCACUCCACGUGGGCCACUUGCUUGUAACCUGAGAGAAAACAUAACGCACCUCACCACAGGGUCACGAACAAAUGAGAUAAGGUGGGUAAACUGUGAAGGACCAUUCAAAUGUUAAUUAUUAAAGGAAUUUUCUUGCUGACAAAGCCAUUUCUGUCCAUAGCAAUAUUGUUAGACUGGCUCAUUUGAAUAAAAGAUGUAUUUCUCCCAUCCCUGAAGCUGCACUUUGGAGCAGCUUAAUUUCCUACUGGCUUGAUUUCUUUUCUACUAAGGAGAGGCUAACCUCAAUCCACUCUGCCCUGUGUUCCGGAGCCUGGAUACUUAGUGAGAGCCUCGCAGAGGCCCAGAGCCCCAAGCAAGGGCCAGAAGUAGUUCUAAGCAGUUAGCUUCAGGACUUGGCUACACGGAAAGGAAUGACUUGUUCUGGAAUGGAAUUCUCCCCACACACCAAAUGCUAGCUGGGAGGGGAGACCGGGCUAGAGAACUUCCAAGCUUGACUGCAGGGCUUUGGGAAUGUUUCAUUUGUUCCAACAAGGGAUUUGUAACUGGAACGCAACACAAUCAAAUGUGCUAGAAAACACUCCAACUUCUCUUAGCUUUUGAAUGCCUUUCUCUGUAAUACAAAAACUCUUGGACAUUUUUAGAAACUUAAAAAAAUCAUUUUGCUAUUUUUGCCUUGAUUAUGAUAAAGUCAUGGUUUUUAGUCAAUGUUUUUAUUUUUAGAUUAGCAUCUUAUGAAAUAUAAUAAUGCUAAUUUAAUACAAUAGGUAAUAAUAUUCAUAAGGAAACAGAUGCCAAUUUCUCUAACAAAUGAAGCAAGGUGUUAAACUGAUUUAAAAUAACUGUCUAAAAAUGAUUUGUUGUUGAAUAAAUUUUCAAAUUACCUAUUGUGUUUUGUUGGGGAACCACAUGAAUAUUAAGACAGACUGAAAUUUCACUACGUGUUGGAUGAUGGCAUCAAAAACAGAUAAAAUUUUUUCACUACCUACUAUAGAAUUCUUGAGAUUUCCCUCGAGUUAUUUUGAUAAAUUUUAGUGUUUUGUUUCUAAAUGGCAAGAAAAGAGGAGAAGGUUUUCAGUUGCUGUUUGCAUGCGUGUCUCAAAAAAUAAGACACAUAGGGCUUCCCUGGUGGCGCAGUGGUUAAGAAUCCGCCUGCCAAUGCAGGGGACACGGGUUCGAGCCCUGGUCUGCGAAGAUCCCACAUGCCGCGGAGCAAAUAAACCUGUGCACCACAACUACUGAGCCUGCGCUCUAGAGCCCGCGAGCCACAACUACUGAGCCUCUGUGCCACAACUACUGAAGCCCGCACACCUAGAGCCCGUGCUCCACAACAAGAGAAGCCACCGCAAUGAGAAGCCCGCACACCACAACGAAGAGUAGCCCCCGCUCGCCGCAACUAGAGAAAGCCUGCACACAGCAACGAAGACCCAACACAGCCAAAAAUAAGUAAAAUAAAUAAAUUAAAAAAAAAAAAGACGCAUAGAUGUGAAGAGUAUUUUCACCAAAUGAAAAGUCAAAUUAGAUAUACUGUCUAUAUUGAUUUUUGAUGUUACUUUUCAGGGUAUUAGAGAAUUUUGCUUGCUCUGGAAGAACUUUAAUCAAAUGAAAAAAACAAGGAUCUGAGUAAAGAGCAUCCUUAGGCUAAUUUGCAGAAUUGUUAUCAUUUAUGUGCAGCCAUUAACUUAUUGCAUACUAACACUCAUGUUUCAUAAGCACUCUUUUAAAACAACAUUUUAUUGUGGAAUUAAAUAAACACUAUACAACCAAGAAUAAAACAGACUACAACUUUCUUGUCAAUAUGUGGGGCUUGAUUAGAUCCUCAUUCAAAGAAAUAGACUGCAAAGGUCAUUGGUUGGGAAUAGGGAAAUUUGAAUAUGGUUUGGGUAUUAGAUGAUACUACAGAAUUACUGUUAAUUUUGGGAGGAGUGAUAGUAUUGUAUUGUAGUUACACAGGAAAAUUUUCUUAUUCCUUUGCAGUGUAUCCUGAAGUAUUCAGGGGUAAAGUAUUAUGAUGUCUAGGAUUUAUUUUAAAAUACUUCACCAAAAAAUAGAAAAGCAAAUACGGCAACAUGUUAAUAA
Balaenoptera acutorostrata (minke whale) is the source of this 3555-nucleotide long non-coding RNA. RefSeq lists it as uncharacterized. NCBI's taxonomy places the organism in Eukaryota, Metazoa, Chordata, Mammalia, Artiodactyla, Balaenopteridae. The record is from RefSeq and is a predicted model, not a curated record. The transcript is spliced from 8 exons.